This 1567-nucleotide long non-coding RNA is filed under the name Homo sapiens (human). RNAcentral's name for it is "HSALNT0337310". Lineage: Eukaryota; Metazoa; Chordata; Mammalia; Primates; Hominidae. The record is from RNAcentral.
ACUGUUAAAAAGGAAAAUUGGCCUCGGUCGUUUCUUAACAAUGCUACCAUUUACUUCAAGAAGAAAAUUGUGGGCUUUAACCUUUGCGCAUUUGAUUCUUCCGCACGGCCUUCCAAGGAACUAGGCUUUGGGCACCCGCCACCUUCAUUCUUAGCUCCAUCCUGGUCCUGACGCAGCUAGCCUGACCAAGCCUUGAAGUACAUCAGAUGCUGUAACCCUACUCAUAGGUACAAUUUUGAAUUUGUGCUGGAUCCAAGGCCAUUGCGUCUGGGGUGAGCUUCAACGUCUUUGAGCCCCUUGAGCUGUAUCCUUUCUCUUCCUCCUGGCCUUCACUGAGCUUGCUCUGUCCAUGUCACUAGGCAGCUUGCCCUGGUUAACACUGAAAUCCCUAUCUGGGCCUGGAGCCAGCUCAUGAACUGCACUCAGGUUCUCUGGGGUCUUGACAACAUGAUAUCUUAUUGCCAGAUAUGUGUUCCUUUAUUCUGUUUAUCAGUAGGUCAAGUCAAUAAAAAUAUAUUGAUUGCCUACUCCAUGCCAAGCUACUAUGUGGGGGAUAUUACUGUCUGGACUUUGAUCUGCUGUUGAGAUAUCAAUCCAAACAACUAGAUCUCAGUCAACCCUGCCGAAUGCCUGAUUCCAAAAUUCACCAUUGGCUGGACAGUCUGUUUUGCCCCAGAUUGGACCUCUUAGAUACUGAUACCGUGUCAAGCUUACUAUAUCCCUUUUGACACUAUAACUUGAAAAUCUAGCUAUCCAUCUCAGGUCCCAGUUCUACAGAAAGGUUAGUCCCCAGUAAUUCUGGCUUCUUUUCCUGUCCUCAUGUCUCCCUUGCCAAGAUCCUGCAAACUUUCCAGGUAAGCCUUCUUGGGUUCUGACCUUUAUAACAUUUAUGAUUUACAAAAAUAUCUUUAUAUAUAUUUUCCCAUUCUAGUUUUGAAUCUUAAAAUAACUCUUUGAGAUAGGAGGGGAGGCUUAUUAAAUCUCUGUUUCACUAAAGAGGAAACUGUCUUUAAGAAGACUAAUGACGUAUUUAUGUUUAAUAAAUGGCCUUUUUAGGAUGUGAACUCAGACCUUAUCUCUCAUUUUAAUGUUCUUUACCCUGGGGGGUGGGGUGGCUAACCUUCACUUUGAACAGACCUUAUAAUUCAUUUCAGGAAGCAGUCAACUCUUUGGUAUGAAGGAUUGAUGUGUUAGACCUCCUAGGACGACACUUUAACCCCCAAAUAAUUACUCAAAACACAUAAAUAUUACAUCCUAUGUAGUUAGAAGGAUAAAAGUCAGUAGAUGUAAGGCCAAGCAUGGUGGCUCAUGCCUAUAAUCCCAGCACUUUGGGAGGCCAAGGCAGACAGAUUACUUGAGGUCAGGAGUUUGAGACCACUCUGUACCCAAAAUACAAAAAAUUAGCUAGCCGUGGUGGCAUAUGCCUGUAAUCCCAGCUACUUGGGAGGCUGAGACAGGAGAAUUGCUUGAACCCAGGAGGCAGAGGUUACAGUGAGCUGAGAUCAUACCACCACACUCCAGCCUGGGCGACAGAGUGGGACUUUGUCUCAAAAAAAAAAAAAAAAAA